CCACUCCCCAGCUGCAUUAGCGUCUGCAGACUCAGGCUCCACAUGGACACUGAUUGGCUGUAGCGCUGUGUGGCUGCCAUGGCAACGCUGGCCGCUCCCUCAGCAUCUCCGGCUGAGAGCAGGAUCUGUAGCUGGCAUCAUGCUACCAGUGCUGAGGCUCUUGACGCCCUCCUCGUAGACCUGGCAGCAACGCUCUUCUCUUCGGCUAAUGUCUGAGGCCCGGCCUUUUGCCGAAUGCAGCUCCUCUCCAGCACCCGGACCUUCCAGCUGCCUUUUGGCCAUGAAAUCCCAUGUCAAGCUCUCAUCUGUGUAAUUGCUGUUUAAGCUGUAAAGAAGCCAGUAGAAAGAGUAGAAGUGGCAUCUUUGUAAACAAGCUCAGCCAGUUUACCUGCCAGGAUCUCAGGAGAGAACUCAUAUUCACCCUAAAAAACGUCCAUCUCAGCAUCCUCCAGCUCCUUCUUCUGCUUCUUCAGUUUUUCGCAAUGCAGCAGCUCCAUACGGAAGUACUAACACACACACGAACAAAGAAUAUACAAUGGUCAGAAAAUGUAUCAUAUACUUAAACUGUACAAGACUGACUUGCUUUCUCAUUCUGAAAAAAAAACUAACCUCCUGGUAGACUUUCUUGUCCUUUGGGUGGAACCUUAGAGCUCUGAGAAACAGGUGUCUGGCAUUUUCAGAGGAAUUCCUAUCCUCAAGCUCACUCUUGGCAGCCAUUAUCCAGAGAGCUAACGUGUAAAAAACACACAACAACAACGGUAAUUGUACCUGAACACCUGUUGAUUAUCAAGACUGGGAGCUCUAAAGGAGUUUGUACCUGGUUUGUCAGGGUGGAUAGCAAGCAUGGCUGAGAACACCUUACUGAUCUGACCUUUGGUGCCCUGAGGAGUGAAACGCACCAUUAUUAAAAUGAGAAGAGAUUGUUUCUAACACAAACUGAAGACUAAAAGAAACUCAUGAGAUUUUUACGUACCCAUUUCUUACAGAAGGCAACAUGUGAGAGCCAAAGCUGCACAUCGUCCUGUGGUAAACAAAUAUAUGUGGUUUCUUUAUGCUUUCAUCCUUAAAGUCAGAUUAAAGAAACUACAAACUGUGAAUAUUCUCUAAAACUGUUUCGACGCGUACUUUCAAGUCAAAAUUACAGGAUCGAUUUGUGAUUAGAAUGCAUAGUUGGUCACAUUUUAUGCUAGUAAUAAUCUGGCAUGUAAAAACAUAUUUUAAUUAAAAAAACAUUUUACUUUUGAUAAAGGCUAGAAAGAUGUUUUUAUUUUAAUUUGACUUUCAGUGAAUAUUUUAAAUAUGAUGUAUGAUUAAAAUGCUGAUGAAUUAAGGUAAGGUUUCCUGACAGGAGAGUCUUCCCCUCCACCUCUAUGAUACAAUGCUUUAACUAAACGAAUAACUAUUACACACACUGCAUGCUGAACAGUACCUUCCACUUCUUGGUUGCUCGUUUGAAGAUACUAUUUAUUCUGUGGAUGAUGGGGUAUUCAAUCUCUUCUCUCUUGAAAUGGUAGUUUAUGUGCUGCAAUUUAAAUGAUAUACAGUGAAAUGAAAAAGUAUCCAUUCAAUUAAACUGUUAUUUUUUUGUCCAAAUCCAAAAUAAAUGUUAAUGCAUCA
Long non-coding RNA from Betta splendens (Siamese fighting fish), 1617 nucleotides. RefSeq lists it as uncharacterized. The record is from RefSeq and is a predicted model, not a curated record. The transcript is spliced from 4 exons. NCBI's taxonomy places the organism in Eukaryota, Metazoa, Chordata, Actinopteri, Anabantiformes, Osphronemidae.